Long non-coding RNA from Aedes albopictus (Asian tiger mosquito), 442 nucleotides. RefSeq lists it as uncharacterized. NCBI's taxonomy places the organism in Eukaryota, Metazoa, Arthropoda, Insecta, Diptera, Culicidae. The record is from RefSeq and is a predicted model, not a curated record. The transcript has 2 exons.
GUGUGUGUGUGUGUGUGUGUGUGUGUGUGUGUGUGUGUGUGUGUGUGUGUGUGUGUGUGUGUGUGUGUGUGUGUGUGUGUAGGGGGGGGGGAGCCGGCCGGCGUGGAUCAUAUGGGUAUUCGAACGGUGAUGGGCGGGAAUCGAGCUGCGGCGGCGGGAAGUGGGGCUACGGUGGCUUGGCGACGAAGGGAUGGCGACGAUCUCGGUCAGGGUGUGGGCUGGCGAUCGAGCGACGCUGGGAGGGCUUCUCAACGACGAUGACGUGUAAUCGGGUCACUCACUAAUAGGCGAGCACGAGGUCGUCGGAUGGUCACUCGAUCACUCCUGCGGCUUUCCUGUUCCCCUGGCCUUAGGCGAAAACUGGUGCCAAAGGGGAGGCACGUGGUUACCUCGUCCUACCGUACUGGGGGUCGAUCGUCCUACCCAGCAAUAGCCAAGCGUG